CUAGCCGUAAACGAUGGAUACUAGGCGUUGAGAGGAUCGACCCUCGCAGUGCCGUAGCUAACGCGUUAAGUAUCCCGCCUGGGGAGUACGCGCGCAAGCGUGAAACUCAAAGGAAUUGACGGGGGCCCGCACAGGCGGUGGAGUAUGUGGUUUAAUUCGAUGCAACGCGAAGAACCUUACCAGGGCUUGACAUGUCCGGAACCCUGCCCAAAGGUGGGGGUGCCUACAGGAGCCGGAACACAGGUGGUGC
This 250-nucleotide ribosomal RNA is filed under the name uncultured Chroococcidiopsis sp. Its description in RNAcentral is "partial 16S ribosomal RNA". It matches the Rfam family "Bacterial small subunit ribosomal RNA", at positions 796 to 1044 of the family's 1533-position model. The record is from RNAcentral. Lineage: Bacteria; Bacillati; Cyanobacteriota; Cyanophyceae; Chroococcidiopsidales; Chroococcidiopsidaceae.